GGGGCUUGACAUCCCACGAACCUGCCCGAAAGGGUAGGGUGCCCGCAAGGGAGCGCGGAGACAGGUGGUGCAUGGCUGUCGUCAGCUCGUGUCGUGAGAUGUUGGGUUAAGUCCCGCAACGAGCGCAACCCUCACCCCUUGUUGCCAACAGGUCAGGCUGGGCACUCUAGGGGAACUGCCCCGGUCAACGGGGAGGAAGGUGGGGAUGACGUCAAGUCAUCAUGCCCCUUACGUCCUGGGCUACACACGUGCUACAAUGGCCGGUACAAAGGGAUGCAAGACCGCGAGGUGGAGCUAAACCCAAAAAGCCGGUCUAAGUUCAGAUUGGAGUCUGCAACUCGACUCCAUGAAGGAGGAAUCGCUAGUAAUCGCGCAUCAGCACGGCGCGGUGAAUACGUUCCCGGGCCUUGUACACACCGCCCGUCACACCACGAAAGCCAGCUGUACUCGAAGUCGCUGAG
RNAcentral lists this ribosomal RNA (461 nucleotides) under uncultured Methylomirabilota bacterium. Its description in RNAcentral is "bacterial SSU rRNA". It matches the Rfam family "Bacterial small subunit ribosomal RNA", at positions 976 to 1434 of the family's 1533-position model. Lineage: Bacteria; Methylomirabilota (SeqCode). The record is from RNAcentral.